Molecule: ribosomal RNA, 93 nt
Filed under: Bacillus sp. AG236
Lineage: Bacteria; Bacillati; Bacillota; Bacilli; Caryophanales; Bacillaceae
Description: partial 23S ribosomal RNA
Rfam family: Bacterial large subunit ribosomal RNA
Source: RNAcentral
AGAUCCCUGAAAGAUGAUCAGGUUGAUAGGUCAGAGGUGGAAGCGUGGCGACAUGUGUAGCUGACUGAUACUAAUCGAUCGAGGACUUAACCA